RNAcentral lists this unclassified non-coding RNA (520 nucleotides) under uncultured Glomus. RNAcentral describes it as "SSU rRNA". It matches the Rfam family "Eukaryotic small subunit ribosomal RNA", at positions 569 to 1089 of the family's 1831-position model. The record is from RNAcentral. Lineage: Eukaryota; Fungi; Glomeromycota; Glomeromycetes; Glomerales; Glomeraceae. RNAcentral also lists the same sequence under 1 other name.
AGCAGCCGCGGUAAUUCCAGCUCCAAUAGCGUAUAUUAAAGUUGUUGCAGUUAAAAAGCUCGUAGUUGAACUUCGGGGUUCACCCAUUGGUCAGGCUUAAUUGUCUGUACUGGUGAGAUGAGUCUCUACCUUCUGAGGAACUUUCAUGCCAUUUAUUUGGUGUGAUGGGAAAUCAGGACUGUUACUUUGAAAAAAUUAGAGUGUUUAAAGCAGGCUAACGUCUGAAUACAUUAGCAUGGAAUAAUGAAAUAGGACGGAUUGAUUCUAUUUCGUUGGUUUCUAGGGUCACCGUAAUGAUUAAUAGGGAUAGUUGGGGGCAUUAGUAUUCAAUUGUCAGAGGUGAAAUUCUUGGAUUUAUUGAAGACUAACUACUGCGAAAGCAUUUGCCAAGGAUGUUUUCAUUAAUCAAGAACGAAAGUUAGGGGAUCGAAGACGAUCAGAUACCGUCGUAGUCUUAACCAUAAACUAUGCCGACUAGGGAUCGGACGAAGUUAAUUAAUAAUGACGCGUUCGGCACCUU